Mustela lutreola (European mink) is the source of this 7551-nucleotide long non-coding RNA. RefSeq lists it as uncharacterized. The record is from RefSeq and is a predicted model, not a curated record. The transcript is spliced from 5 exons. Lineage: Eukaryota; Metazoa; Chordata; Mammalia; Carnivora; Mustelidae.
UCCACUCUAAGUACCCGUGGCGAUCACUCCCGAGGACACAGAGCCCUCACGCCGCCUGCUGUCUGCCGCUGGCGCACACCUGUGCCUCCAGGGGUCCCUCUGCCUGCUGCUUCCUGGGCUCCCGGCAUCGACAGACACGGGCACUCACGCUCAUGGAGAUUCUGCAUGGCCCGCUCCGAGGGGCUGCACCGGGCACCUCCCUGCAGGGACAGAGGCCGCUGGGCGUCAGGGAGGUCUCCGUGCUCUGCCGUCCGGAGUCUGGAGAAGAAAAUAUGGAAGGAAUGUGCCAUAAGCAGAAGGAAUGAAAGCGGAACAGUCGUGAAGCAUGAAGCUCCAAGGAGAGGUUGAGACCAGCUGUGAGCCAGGCAGACCGAUGUGACUGGGAGUCGCAGGGAGGAACACGCGGUUCUCAAAGCAUGGAACGGAGGCCCUGGGGGUUCCCUGAGGCUCUUGCUGGCAUCUGGGAGGUGCAGCUUCUGGAAUGGAAAAGAAAUGGUGUUUAUUGUUCUCUGUGUUCCGGCACAGUACACACCCUUGCUCACUGGACCCCAUGAGAUUGCGGGGUGGGCACUGUUACCCGCCCACUUCCUAGACAAGAAAACAGGCCUGGAGAAGCCCCAGGAGCUGUGGAUUGGUCGUAGUUUGUAAUCCCAGUGAGGCUGAGAGUCACCAAGCUGACCCCAGUGAGGCCGAGAGUCACCAAGAUCACAUCUUUAUUGUCCUUGACGGAGGAGAAGAGGAGAAAGCUGGGGAGGGGGAGGUGCAUUGGUAAAGGUUCCCGAAGAAACGGAACCACUAGGUUCCUGCUGAGCCUUCUGUUCUCUCCGGGCCCACAGGGGAUUGGAACAGGCCCACCACCCACUCUGGGAGGGCCAUCUGCCUGACUCCGUCCGCUGCUUCACACGUCAGUCUCAUCCAGAAGCACCCAGAGUGAGGCUCACGGAAUGCCUGGGCCCUACGAGGCCUGCCGAGUGGACAGGUACUGUGCAGGUGCCUUUUCUGCAUUGAAUACAUACAGCAUUGCCGUGGGUGCGUCCACCAGCGACCGUCCCUGCCCACAGCCCUGGUGCCAGAGGCCCUGGGUUCCAUCUGGAACAGCCCUACGGCCAUGCCUGCUCCGGGAAAGAUAGCCCACCAGAAAGCCCCCUGUGCAGAGGCUACCUGAGGACUUAUAGCCGGUACAACCCAGCAUCCAGCCGUGACCAGACAACCAGAAGCUCUCCCUGUCAUAGGACUGCAACUUGGAAACGAAGACUCACUGGUCAGCUGAGUUGAUAGAAGGUCAUGGCCUCAUCUGGGGCUGAAGCACAAGGGAGCAAAGGCCAGGACUGGAGGACGAGCCAGGUGUACAGACCAAGGUAGGGUCCUCUGUGAGGCCUGGAGACCCUCACGUGAGGGCUGGUGCUGAGCUGCUUCCUGACACUGUCCUCCAGCUUCAGCGCCGACCUGACCUUAAAGUGCCACAUUCCCGUGAUAACAGGAGAGAAUCCCUGACAACCAGUGAGUGGCACUGUGAGCUGACACAUAGCCCAGCAUCAAGGGGACACAAAAUAAAAUGAAGGUCAGCUAGGCCAGGUGCUGGGGCAGGGCACCAGACCCUUGGAGGCCACUCAGAGGAUCUCCUUGGCCAGCCUGGGGGACAUGGACCUGCCUGCUGCUCAUCCUCCCCAAUGUGGAGCCGUCUUCAGCAGCCUGUCCUGUCUGCACCAUUGCUUCCUCUCUCCAGGGCCGAGGGCAUCACUGACCAUCUAUUUGCCAGAGUAUUAGAAGGACAAGGACCAUCUUUGUCAGGGCUGUCUCCAGUACCAGCUAGGAGAGAGGAAAACCUCUUCCAAAGAAGCCACCAGCCACCAGCCAGGGCAGCCUGCCUCCCUGGGGCUCCCACCAGCAGCCUGCAGGACCCCCCACGCCCGGGGGGCUUUCCAGAGCUGUGAAGUUCCCCUUCUGGGGCUGUCCUCCCCCUGGCCUCUGAUGUGCCCCCCUCCCUGCUCCCGGCAAAUUAUCCUUCAUCUCCUAUCAGUUCUGACCGCACAUUCUCUCCCUUGGGUCCGCGCUUUGUGUUCCCACGCCUGCAGGCCUCCCUCCCUCUGCCCAGCCAGCUCCAUGCUGUCCUGCAAGAAGGCCCCUGGGAAGAGCUCUGGACUAGUGUCCCAGACAGGAGUGAGCAGGGGGAGAUGUCAGAGGCGAGGACGCAGGCCCAGGACAUGGAGGUGAGUGUGUCGGAGCCACAUGGGCCGACGCCCUGCUCCCUCCCUGCUGGGUCUGCGUCCUGGCCCCAAGUCCCAGGCCUCUUGCAUCAUCCAAGAGCCCACUUCUGGUCUGCUCCCGGCCGGGCCGGCCCGUAGUUCCCAGCCCGGGAAGCUUCUCCUCACUGUGGCCUUCGGUUCUCUGCUCAGACGCGGUUUUCCCACGGCCCCAGGAAACGAUUUCAAGGCCCUGGGCACUGAAAGUCUCGGCGAACUUCAAAUGAACUUUCACAUCUUCACCCAAGACGUCCCAUCCGCUUUGUGGACAUGGCCACUUCUAGCUUUCAAUGCUUUUCAGGGGUAGCACGUUCUAGCGCCUUCCUCAUGUCCUACCAGGCAGCCCUCGCUUUCUCCUUCUGCAGAACAGGCAGGUUCUGCUUGCCCCUGCCCCCUGCCCCCCAUCCCAGACUUCAAGAAGGGCUUGAAAGGGCUGUCACUCUGCCGGCUCACCCAGCCUGGGUCUUUCAUACUUCGGGGUUUUGGCCUCCUGAGUACCGAUCCCACCAAUCAAAGGGUUGGAACCCACCACCUUUAAGUGGACACGGACCUCAGGGUUUGAACACUGAGAGUCAAAGCCGUCGAGGGGUGCCCCAGGACUGUCCAGCUAGUGGGUGGCAGCUGGAUGCCAGGAGGCUGGCUGCUGGGCAGGGGUGAGUGAGCCGGGCUCAUUCCCAGAGGCCAUGCAGGGAAACCUGGAAUCUGGAGGCCAGCCACCCGGAGGGUGCUAGACUCGGGGAGGCUCCACCUAUGGGGUCCUGGCCCCUGUGGGCCUUCUGUAAAUUCUGUAUUCCUGGCCUUCCUCUGCAGGCACACCCCAGUCUCCAGACAGAGGGAGCCAGGACGGAUGGCUGUGGGCGGGCCAAGUGAGUCAAGUGGCAGGGUUCACACACCACAGCCCGUUUAUUCACCAAUUGUUUGUUUAUUCACCAAUCGCUCGUGGGUUCCCGGGGAAUGAGGCACACAGUCCUUGUGCCGGACAAGAGUGUCACUGCAGUUGGAACAGGUAUGUCCACCCGUCUGUCCUGUCUGUGCCCCACCCCCAUCACUGCACAUGCAGGGCCCGACAGCUGCAUCUGCUGGCGGACCCCCACCCCCCCAGGGGAGUGUCAGCCUGCCCCUUGCUGCUCUGGCCAACCGCAGCAUUUAGGGAACAGGGCUGAGAUAGAAAUACCUUGAAUCGGGAUAAUUUGUUUCCAUACGUCGUGGACCAGUGGAGUGACUGAGUUCUGCAAGGGUGGAAAUCGUGUCCCUCUCUCCACCUGUGGGUCCCGAGCAGCUGGUGCAGACCCACUUCAGAGGGGUAGACGGGUAGAUGAAUGAUGAGUGAGUGAGUGAUGAACCCAGACACCUGAGAGCCGUGUUCUCAGCUGGCCGGCAAACAGCCCAACAACGUGAGUGCAGGUGGGUCCUUGUAAGAGCUGUACAGAUUCAGCAGAAAUGUGAGUGGGAGGGCGCGUGACCUAACGCAGGACUCAGAACAGGGUCCUGGUCUCCUGGGACAGAGGGUUUGUGGGGUGGCCCCUGGGGGCUGAGGUGGGAGGAGGUGCGGCGGCCCCUGUGCGAGCAGCCCGGAACCAGGCCCUAAGAGAGAAAGGGGGCGCCCUGAGGCCCCUAAACCCCACACCGCGUGCCCCUGGGAGAAUCUGCCCAUUCACACGUUCGCUGCCUCACUCAUGCCACAGUUCCUGCCUCAGGCCUCUGCCCAUCACCGUGCCCAGGGCCCUCAAACGUCAAAAAGCACCAGCUGGAACGAUUGUUCUGGAAUUUUUUAUUUUAUUUUUUGGUGAAGUAUAUGCACAUUUGGCUGUACUUGGUAACACGCCGGCACGCUAUCUCAGGCAUGGAAGGUGAGAAGCACACCAGCCAUGAUCAGCGAGCGGGGCUUGCGGAGCGGCCCCAGACCUGAAGCCCCGGGAACGAGCCCUCCGGCUUCUGGAGGAGUCCAGGCUGCCCGCCACACGUUGGUGUGGGUUGCGGCCUCUCUGGGCCCUGUGUCCGGGUGUGCUCGCACACGGAGCUGCAGGGUGGUCUGGGGACGCUGUGUUGUGGGGAUGUGGACCCCAGGGGUCUGCUGCCUGGACAGGCCGCCUGCCGGAGCGUUCGUGGUGCCGAAUGCAGAUUUAAGGCGCGGGUUUCUGGUCCCCACGGUAAAGCCUGGCGGGCUGGUGGCAAAGUACAGAAGGCCUCCCAAUGACAUGGUAUUGACUUGCCCUGGGAGAGGCGGGAGCCUGCGAUGGAAGGACAGAGCCCUCCCUGCUGCUGUCCUGCUGCUGUCCUGCCGCCGGACCGCUUGUCCCACUCGGAGCCGCAGACUAGGGAUUUCCUCUUCUAUUUUUACUGCGAAGUGUGCACUGGUGGAAGGCGUUAGGUUUGGGGAUGCUUUUUCCCCUUGGAGUUGCUUGGCUGCAUGUGAAGGUGGUUCUCAGCCUUCGCAGCCCGUGGAGAUUCUGAUAAGGAAUCAAAAACCCCAUCAUCGCCCAUUUUUAUUACUCCGGUUAACCAUUACAAAGCCGGCAGGCCGGGCGGCCUGUGCAGCUGAGGAGGCCUGUAGGAACGGCGCUGGUGGGCUCUCUGGGGCUGAGGGACGGGAGCAGGACUGGAAGUGGGGUGCCGCGGGCUCUCUUCCCCACUCCCCCAGAGGGUGCAGGGCUGUCCUGCAUCCCCAGGGGGUGGCAUCCACCAGCCUCCGAAUCUCAGAACUGGGCUGAUGGGGGAGCCAGCCCUCAGCCCGAGAUGCCCGUCAGACUCACUACGGCCCCUGGACUUCAGGCUUCUCUCACAGCUGGGGUUUCCUGGGUUUGCUUCUCAAGGUGGGGAGACCCACCAGACGGGUCCUGCUAGGCUGGACUGGAAAAUUGGCUACACCCUGACCUGGGCUCCCAGGAGCAUCUACCCACCCCCGUCCCCACCGAGGACCUCGGAGAGUCGGGGGAAAGCCUUUCCACACUGGAAGCCCCGGCUGGCUUUGAAAGAGGAGGCCACUCAUGUGCCAACGGUGGGGAGGGGGCAGGCCUUGCCGAGGGACACCGGCUGGUGUGGGAGCCGCAGUGGCAGGAACCCCAUGCUGGGCUCAUGGGGCCUGAGCAGAAUGUCUUCAUGACAGGGCCAUUCUUUUUCUUUUUCUAAAAGAUUUUAUUUAUUUAUUUGACAGACAGAGAUCACAAGUAGGCAGAGAGACAGGCAGAGAGAGAGAGGAAGUGAAGCAGUCUCCCUGCUGAGCAGAGAGCCCGCUGCGGGGCUCGAUCCCAGGACCCUGGGAUCAUGACCAGAGCCUAAGGCAGAGGCUUUAACCCACUGAGCCACCCAGGUGCCCUGACAGGGCCAUUCUUUAACAGAAGUCGGACUAGGGUUUGAUACGGAGAGCGCCACCCUGCACCCGUUUCUCUGGAUGUCACAACCUUUCUCUGAGCCAGGGCUCUCACAGGCAAAAUGCUGGGCUUGUGAUGUCUCUAGACAUAUUCAGAGGAGAAAACAUCUGUCUUCUCAAUGCGGAGACUAUCUGCUCCGUGCUGGGGCAGCACACGGCCUGGGCCCUUCAUGGGCCACUCAGCUCUGCUUUCUAGCCAAGUGUAUCUGUAUUUGUCUGGAGAUUUGUUAUUUGUGUUAUUUUGUUAUUUGUUAUUUGUUAUUUGAGUCCCUGGGGGUGAGCAGAAUGACACGCCCAUCACAUGGGCAUGCGGACACACAUGUACACUGGGUGACAGUUGCCCCCAAACCCAGGUGCCCAUCACAAUUUUAGAAGCACCCUGCCUCCCAGAGCUGACUUGCUCCUGAGACGUCCCUCUUGGGGAACCAGAGAGGAAAGCAGUCUCAGGGAGGGACUGGGACUUGCUUUAAGGUCACAGCAUUUGAGUGACAGAGCUAAAAUGAGCCCCAAGCUUAGGGUUCUCUGCCAGUCCUUUCCCGACCUGCAAGCAGAGACAUCCUUCCCUCCUCCCUCCCUGUGGUCGCGAGAGUUGGCUGCCUGCCCCUGAGCUCAGGGGGAAACCUCCUGAGCCUCGGAGGAAGGGCAGUGAGGCUGCCGUUCCUUCUUUCUCGGGACCACUGCCCUCUUUCUAGGUGUGAGCAUGUGGUGGUGGGCCUUGCAGAUGGGCUUUACCGGGGUUCAAGCCCAGACCCAGCGUCUGCCACCAGUGAGGCCUGGGAGAGCUGCUCGAUGCUCUGUGCGCUUUCUUCAGUGGGGCCGGAAGGGUGCUUGGCGUGCUGCCGCUGCUGGGCACUUGCUGUCCCUUGUAUUACUUGUGAUAGCUCAGGGCUGGCUGCUGGCGGAGCCACCUGCUCCUGGGCCCAGCCCGAGAGAUGGUGUGGCUCAGCUGCCUAGUCCACCAGGGUCCCUCGGGUGGGCUGCUCCCUCACUGACCUGGGGACCUCCGAGCCUCUGAGGCUUGGCUUAGUCUUCCAGAAAGCAUGUGGGGUGUGUCGUCCGCCAUCUCCCCAAAUCCACCCUGCUCCUGGCGCUCAGCGACGGUGCAGAGAAGUGGACCUGUCCCAGCAUCCUGGGGCUGGGGGGCUGUGUCCGUCCAUCCUCACGCCAUCCCUGAGCAUGUGGACACCCAUCUCGCCCAGAUGUCGAAGCAUUCCUGGACAAGCCCUUAAAAGUACUGGCCAAAGGGACAAAUACCGACACGGAUUAAAAGCCCUUCAACAGGGGGUGGCUAAACAAGUCUCAGGAGUCCCCAGGAAGGAAUACUACGCAGCUGACAAAAAGAAUGAACACAACCGACAGAUGGACAAAGCACGUGGUCAAUGACACUUUCUUGAAUGUACAAGAAGUUGCAGAACCAUGGUAUCAGUUCAUUUGAGAAAAGCUCACGUGUUGCUGAGUGCGUGAGAAUGUUGGCACACAGCACAACUGGAAGGUUGCCUCCUGGACAUGGGUCUCCCGUAGGCAUCGCAAGUCCAUGGUAGCGUGGCUGGAGGCUGAAUUCCAGGUGGACAUGGCUUCCUUCAAGAUUCUGUGUGCCUUAUCUGUCCUGUAGCUUUCCAUAUGGGAAGCUGGAAACCACAUCCUCAGCCCUCCCGGGAUAGGCCUGUCCUGGGAAUGGUGAGCCCUGGCUGUGGCUGUGGCCUCAGGGCAUCCUCUUGUCCCCAGUAGUGUCCUGAAGGUCUGGGAGCUCUCCUGACUCAUUUGUGGACUGAUUCCCUUCCCACUGCGUCCUCUUUCCCCUUUGCUGAAGCUCUUUCUGGACUCUGGGCCUCCAACCUCAUCACCCGGGGUUUAAAAACCUCUUUUUUUCCUCUAAUUUUGUAUCGCUUUGCCCUUUGGCUCUAUUUCUAGAGGAUAUCUUCUACUUUGUCAUCCAGA